ACUACGGGUGGCUGCAGUGGGGAAUAUUGCACAAUGGGGGAAACCCUGAUGCAGCGACGCCGCGUGAGUGAAGAAGUAUUUCGGUAUGUAAAGCUCUGUCAGCAGGGAAGAAAAUGACGGUACCUGACCAAGAAGCCCCGGCUAACUACGUGCCAGCCGCCGCGGUACUACGUAGGGGGCAAGCGUUAUCCGGAUUGACUGGGUGUAAAGGGAGCGUAGACGGCAGGGCAAGUCUGGAGUGAAAGGCGGGGGCUCAACCCCCGGACUGCUCUGGAAACUGCCAGGCUGGAGUGCAGGAGAGGUAAGUGGAAUUCCUAGUGUAGCGGUGAAAUGCGUAGAUAUUAGGAGGAACACCAGUGGCGAAGGCGGCUUACUGGACUGUAACUGACGUUGAGGCUCGAAAGCGUGGGGAGCAAACAGGAUUAGAUACCCGAGUAGUC
This 440-nucleotide ribosomal RNA is filed under the name uncultured bacterium. RNAcentral describes it as "partial 16S ribosomal RNA". It matches the Rfam family "Bacterial small subunit ribosomal RNA", at positions 338 to 795 of the family's 1533-position model. The record is from RNAcentral.